This 1271-nucleotide long non-coding RNA is filed under the name Marmota monax (woodchuck). Lineage: Eukaryota; Metazoa; Chordata; Mammalia; Rodentia; Sciuridae. The record is from RNAcentral.
UUCAACCAGCCAGAUUCAAAAUCCUUGCUUAGCACCCUGGGUAUUAGUUGUAGAUGCAAAUAAUAUAAGAAAUAAAAAAAUGAGACAUAACUAUGGAUGCAGGAGAGAUUUAGGGAAUAUUAUAGACAACUUGAUGCCAAUAAAUUUUAAAUAUUGAAUGCAAUGGAUAAAUAUCAAGAACAUUUUAGGUUACUUCAGGAAUAGAAACCUGAUGGUCUUUUAAUCAUUAAAGAAAUGAAAUCAAUUCUUCAAAAGCUGACUAUAAAGAAAAUAUCAACUCUUGUAAACUUAUUUCUAAACUACCAUAGAAAAUUCCCUGUCUUCUAAGUGUUGAGCCUGUGUAAACUGGAAUUUUCUGUUCCUUUAAUGUUUGGUAGAACUCAUUUAUAAAACCAUCAAGAGUUGAUAUUUUAAAAAAUGCAAUCCUGAAAAUAUAAGAUCAAUCAAAAAGAAGGCAAGAAACAAGGAACAAUGGAAUAAAGAAUAGGAUGAUAGAUUGAAAAGCACACAUGAUGGUAAAGUUAAAACCAACAAUAUUAACAAUUAACUUAAAUAAAAAUGGACUAAACAUUGCAAUUAUAAGGCAGAGACUUUCAGACUGUUACAUUUUUUGUCUGCAACAGUCACUCUGCUUCUUUUUUCCCUAUGAUAUUCCCUUUUUUGAAGAGCCAGGACAACUACUUAAGAUACUUAAGAUGUAGGUAAAGUUUAUUUGAUUAUAGCUUUAAUUUGAUAAAAUUUUAAUACUCUUUUUUUUUCUUUUUUGUGGUGCCAGGGAUUGAACACAGGGCCUUUUGCAUACCAGGCAAGCACUCUACCAACUGAGCUAUAUUCCCAGCUUGAUACAAUUUUAAUACGAUGAAUAACUGCUAUUUUGUAGCAACAUAUUUAGGCAUGAAUGCUAAAUAGCUCACAUAAAUGACAGUAAUUACUAUUAUUUUACUUAACCAAUUUGAUUUGUCAUGAUUUAUUGGUCAUGAUUUAAGACCCAAUUAUAUGCUGUUUACAAGAGAUAAACUCUAAAUAUAAAGAUACAGAAUAAAUGUAAAAGGAAGGAGAAAAGAUAUUCUAAGCAAAAAACUAAUCAUUAGAAAUCUUGAGUGACUCUAAUAAUAUCAGACAAAGUAAUCUUCAGGACAAAGAGUCUUCAGGACCAGUAAUGAUGAUAAAAAUACUAGUUCAUAAAAAGACAUAAAAACUGAAAUAUCUAUUUAUAACUAAUAAUGGAGAUAUUAUGAACCAGAAACUUAAUUCAUUUUAUAGUCUUGCCA